GCCGACGUGGUGGAAUUGGUAGACACGCUACUUUGAGGUGGUAGUGGGGCAACCCGUGACGGUUCGAGUCCGUCCGCCGGCACCA
Molecule: transfer RNA, 85 nt
Filed under: Lysobacterales bacterium
Lineage: Bacteria; Pseudomonadati; Pseudomonadota; Gammaproteobacteria; Lysobacterales
Also listed under: 1 other name
Description: tRNA-Leu
Rfam family: tRNA
About the family: Transfer RNA (tRNA) molecules are approximately 80 nucleotides in length. Their secondary structure includes four short double-helical elements and three loops (D, anti-codon, and T loops).
Source: RNAcentral